AUUACGGUUUUAUAUAGUAGGCAGUCGAAACGGGCAGUAUGUUAUUUUGAAACAUUGUGACAAAAUAUGAUUUUUUAUAAAUAUUCCACUGCCAUGCACCAAGUAAUGGGACCAGAGUCACACAGUAUUUGAAGAGCAAGUAAUAGCAGACACGACCGAUAGCGCGGAGGCAUUUGCCGAACUAAAUUAUGCGAGUAUUAUAGAUGAUCCAAGUUUAUCAGUCAGUAAUCACUUAUUAUCUUGAGAUGCAGGUUAACGAUGGACGAAAGACCUAGCGAUCCUGUGUUAACAUCUCCCAAGGGCUAUCUCAAUUAAAUCGAGUUAAAUUCUCUUACGAGGUCGAAGUAUCUGUCACGGAUUAUUUGCGGCGAGCUGGGUGGUAAUGAAUAACAGAUGUUGCCUUAGGAAGAAUACAAAGCCUUUUCUAUAUUGUUGUGACUCCCGAGCCCGAGCGACAAAGAACAAUCGUUUAAUUAUUUAAAGCCUCAUUAAAAAGUUUUCAAGAAACAAAAAGCUCUCAGAAAAAGGGAUCCAAAAGAGACUGGCAUAAAAGUUGUCUGUAAAUCCGGCAAGUAGGAUAAACAGCUCAAACAACACGAAAAGAUGCAACAAGGAAAGGACAAAGAAACCUACAAAGGACGCCAAAAAAUUCCUUUCAAAAGUGCAGUUAUUAAGGCAUGAAAAUGUGGGAAAGGAAGAGUUUGAUUGUGGAACAUGUCUAUAGAAGGAUAUAUGACCCAAAAUAUGAGCAGAAAGCAAGAUAGGCCUAAUACUAAAAAAGCUGUCACAAUUUUAACUUGUUUACGGCCGCCGUCUCGUUUUUGACAGUCUAGCGCAUACCCAGACAAAUUUGUAAAACAGAACUUUUUAGAGCUGUACCUACAGGAGGAAUACAAAAAAUUUCCAGUCUUGAAGCCUUUGAACGGUGCAUAUGAAUAUACGUUCAUAUGGCGGAAGAUGUUUCAUUUAUGAUUUUAAAAUUAUAGAGUAGAUAAGACUUUAAAUGUCCUAUGACCUAUCGCUAUAAAAUUUAGUAGGCGUAGUUUACUAUAGGCGUAGUUUAGUAGACCCUGAAUUUAUCUUACCAGUGUAUUCGUUUGUGUUAUCUUUGUCUUUCAAUGAGUGCUAAAGAUGUUAUACACCGUUCCAAAAGAAUCCUCCAAAAAGGCAGCAAUAAACCUGACAACAAAUGGUGUUGAUGAAAAAAUGAGAAUUUCCUCGUAAACAGCGGGGUGUCAUCUGGUUAAAAUUCCUACAACGCCGCUCUAAAUUUCCUUUUUAAGGCCCACACAGCCGGACGCGAUGCGGCAACGCUACGCGAAUUUUGAGUUCUCAUAAGCAUAUAAAUUAAAUUCUGGAAGUAAAAUUUGGAAACUAUGGACG
Dendronephthya gigantea is the source of this 1383-nucleotide long non-coding RNA. RefSeq lists it as uncharacterized. The record is from RefSeq and is a predicted model, not a curated record. The transcript is spliced from 3 exons. Lineage: Eukaryota; Metazoa; Cnidaria; Anthozoa; Malacalcyonacea; Nephtheidae.